Molecule: ribosomal RNA, 702 nt
Filed under: uncultured bacterium
Lineage: Bacteria
Description: bacterial SSU rRNA
Rfam family: Bacterial small subunit ribosomal RNA
Source: RNAcentral
ACGGAGUUCUUAAGGAAUGCGGCUUCGGUCAAAUGACUUUUGAACUUAGUGGCGGACGGGUGAGUAACGCGUGAGCAACCUGCCUUUCAGAGGGGGAUAACAUUUGGAAACAGAUGCUAAUACCGCAUAAGAUUACAGUACCGCAUGAUACAGUGAUCAAAGGAGCAAUCCGCUGAAAGAUGGGCUCGCGUCCGAUUAGAUAGUUGGUGAGGUAACGGCUCACCAAGUCGACGAUCGGUAGCCGGACUGAGAGGUUGAACGGCCACAUUGGGACUGAGACACGGCCCAGACUCCUACGGGAGGCAGCAGUGGGGAAUAUUGCACAAUGGGCGAAAGCCUGAUGCAGCAACGCCGCGUGAGGGAAGACGGUUUUCGGAUUGUAAACCUCUGUUUUCGGUGACGAGCAAAUGACGGUAACCGAGUAGGAAGCCACGGCUAACUACGUGCCAGCAGCCGCGGUAAUACGUAGGUGGCAAGCGUUAUCCGGAAUUACUGGGUGUAAAGGGAGCGCAGGCGGGAUAGCAAGUCAGCUGUGAAAACUAUGGGCUCAACCCAUAAACUGCAGUUGAAACUGUUAUUCUUGAGUGGAGUAGAGGCAAGCGGAAUUCCGAGUGUAGCGGUGAAAUGCGUAGAUAUUCGGAGGAACACCAGUGGCGAAGGCGGCUUGCUGGGCUCUAACUGACGCUGAAGGCUCGAAAGUGU